This is a long non-coding RNA of Aphis gossypii (cotton aphid), 920 nucleotides long. RefSeq lists it as uncharacterized. NCBI's taxonomy places the organism in Eukaryota, Metazoa, Arthropoda, Insecta, Hemiptera, Aphididae. The transcript is spliced from 3 exons. The record is from RefSeq and is a predicted model, not a curated record.
CAUGCGUUGAUACAUGCGUAUAAUAUGUCUGUAAGUAGUUACGACGAUGGCAGUGGCGUACAGGCAAGAGGAGGCAACGAGCCAUCGGUGUUCCAAAGUCCUGAUAACAAUAUUAUGUUAAAUCAAACACAAAUAUUAAAGUAACGUCGACCAUUAAGAAGAAGCUAUCCUUGCAUGUGUUGUAUCCGUGACUAAGUACUAUAAUGUGUACUAACCAGGUACCAACAUUUUAAUGCAUUAUCCGAUAAAUCAAAACAGAACUAGAAAACUGUUUGAAGUUGAUCAUUACUACUACCAGCAUUAUUACAAAAAGAUAUAUAAUAUUAUAUAGGUAAGUAAUAUACUCUAUAUCAAGGAUGGCCAGCGAGAAGAGACUCGCGAGCCACCAAAUGUAUUAAUAAAUAUGGAAGAGCCAAAAUGAAAAAAAAAAACAAAAAAGGUCAUAUUAUUAUAUUAUAAUACGUAAAUUCAUAUUAAAAAAAUUUGUUUGUAAAAAUGUUACGGUAAAAUGCAAGCCGCAUAAGUCUAUGUGGCGAGCCGCAGUUUAGCCACCCCUGCUCUAUAUACUACCACAAUUAUUAUCAUAUCAAUGUAACACGAAAGCACGUUUUAAAAAAAUAUAUAUUUUUUUAUAUAAUAUGUUAAUAUAGGUAUUUAUAUGCGUGAUACACAUAAUAAUACAUUGGUUAUCCCGUAGAAUUGAUUUAAUAAUGCUUCUAUUAAUAGACAUGGUAAGAAUAAUUAGUUUAUGCACAGUACAAAUGUGCGAUAACAAUAGAGUAUAAUUUAUGUAAUAUCCCCGUAUUUACCUUUUAUUACAUGGUCAUAUGUCUUAAGUAUAAAAGUUAAAAUAUUAUGCAUUUUUAACUACAAAAUAAUUUGUUGAUCUCCAUGAUUAUAAUGAAUUUCAUCUAUUUAAA